Molecule: small nucleolar RNA, 136 nt
Organism: Myotis lucifugus (little brown bat)
Lineage: Eukaryota; Metazoa; Chordata; Mammalia; Chiroptera; Vespertilionidae
Product: small nucleolar RNA SNORA51
Source: Ensembl
GGAAUCCAAAGAUCUUACCCAGGCCUCCUGUGUUCUUACACUGACUGUACAGAAAUAGGAGGCAGAGUAAACUUACCCCAUAUACACCUCAGCUCAGGCUCUUUGCCUGGUCUGUAUUGUGAAUGGGGAGACAUUG